GUGAGGAAUAUUGGACAAUGGAUGGAAAUCUGAUCCAGCCAUGCCGCGUGCAGGAAGACGGCCCUAUGGGUUGUAAACUGCUUUUGUAUGGGAGCAAUAAGGGCUACGAGUAGCCUGAUGAGAGUACCAUACGAAUAAGGACCGGCUAACUCCGUGCCAGCAGCCGCGGUAAUACGGAGGGUCCGAGCGUUAUCCGGAUUUAUUGGGUUUAAAGGGUGCGUAGGCGGUUUUAUAAGUCAGCGGUGAAAUUUUCCGGCUCAACCGGGAUACUGCCGUUGAUACUGUAAGGCUAGGAUAUGGUUGCUGUGGGUGGAAUGUGUGGUGUAGCGGUGAAAUGCUUAGAGAUCACACAGAAUAUCGAUUGCGAAGGCAGCUCACAAAGCCAUUAUUGACGCUGAGGCACGAAAGUGUGGGGAUCAAACAGGAUUAGAAACCCCUGUAGUCC
Molecule: ribosomal RNA, 445 nt
Filed under: uncultured bacterium
Lineage: Bacteria
Description: partial 16S ribosomal RNA
Rfam family: Bacterial small subunit ribosomal RNA
Source: RNAcentral